Labeo rohita (rohu) is the source of this 867-nucleotide long non-coding RNA. RefSeq lists it as uncharacterized. Lineage: Eukaryota; Metazoa; Chordata; Actinopteri; Cypriniformes; Cyprinidae. The transcript has 3 exons. The record is from RefSeq and is a predicted model, not a curated record.
UUAAAACGAGGCGCUUGUUUAGUAAACAUAUUCUUGUUUUGUCUCGGUGUAUUGUUCGUCUGCAGUGAACAAACAGUAAAUAAACUUUCUCUCGGUAAAAAAAACUCAUCGCAGCUGGCUUAGGCAGACAUGUUGAAUGAACCGAAUGUCUUCAUGUGAGGAUACUCUGGGCUCCGUGACCAUCCUGCCCUCAACCCAAUCAAAUAUGACUUUGAAAGAUGGAUGAAUCAGAAUGAUGCCUGUCACUCAGUCAAGUCCAGCUUUAGAUGUUGCGAUUGUCAAAACAGUUUUGAACCGAGGGUCCACUGCGGGAGAUGAAAGCGGCGGAUAAACCCAUACAGUACUUGCUGUUUGAAUCGAUGCCGCAGCCGUCUGCAUGUGCAUAGAUAAGAGAAAGGACAGCAUGUGGAUCCUCCAGAGCCCGCUGGAAAAGAACUCCCAGAUGCUUGUUUAAAGAGACAUGCUGAGUCUCCCACAUCAGCAUUUUACCUCCUGGAAUCAGAGCCAAUUUGUUGAUUUAAGUCACACACUGAGUGGAGAUUGAUGGCUCUGGAACUGCAGGACUCCUUAUCGAUUGAUCACACAGCCUGUGGAUAUGUGCUCCACCAAAUCGUUCGUCAUUGUAAAGUGCGUCCAUAAACACCAAAUGAAAGUGCUUUAGUCCAUGUAAGAAUGCAAUGAAUGAUCUUGCAAGAAUUCAGUAGGAUACACAAAGUGAAUGAAUCGCUAUACUAAUGUGCCAUGCAGAUACUUGGAGGCGAUAUUUAAGUAAAUUGCCGUCAUAGCUCAAAUAUUUUCUUUUUCCUGUGUCUUUUUGGAAGAAUGUUGUUGCCGAAAUGUCAGUAUUUCAUAAGCGAAGCAUGGAAA